This 32-nucleotide non-coding RNA is filed under the name Rattus norvegicus (Norway rat). Lineage: Eukaryota; Metazoa; Chordata; Mammalia; Rodentia; Muridae. The record is from RNAcentral.
CUCAUCUGUAAAAUUUGAAGGAAACAUUUGUU